AUUGAACGCUGGCGGCAUGCUUUACACAUGCAAGUCGAACGGUAACAGGCCGCAAGGUGCUGACGAGUGGCGAACGGGUGAGUAGUGCAUCGGAACGUGCCCAAUCGUGGGGGAUAACGCAGCGAAAGCUGUGCUAAUACCGCAUACGAUCUGUGGAUGAAAGCGGGGGACUCGCAAGGGCCUCGCGCGAUUGGAGCGGCCGAUGUCAGAUUAGGUAGUUGGUGAGGUAAAGGCUCACCAAGCCAACGAUCUGUAGCUGGUCUGAGAGGACGACCAGCCAAACUGGGACUGAGACACGGCCCAGACUCCUACGGGAGGCAGCAGUGGGGAAUUUUGGACAAUGGGGGCAACCCUGAUCCAGCAAUGCCGCGUGCAGGAAGAAGGCCUUCGGGUUGUAAACUGCUUUUGUACGGAACGAAACGGUCUGGGUUAAUACCCUGGGCUAAUGACGGUACCGUAAGAAUAAGCACCGGCUAACUACGUGCCAGCCGCCGCGGUAA
This 500-nucleotide ribosomal RNA is filed under the name uncultured bacterium. RNAcentral describes it as "partial 16S ribosomal RNA". It matches the Rfam family "Bacterial small subunit ribosomal RNA", at positions 30 to 523 of the family's 1533-position model. The record is from RNAcentral.